GCUGGGCAUGGUGGUGCACGCCUGUAAUCCCAGGGGCUUGGAGGCUGAGGCAGGAGGAUCUAGAGUUCAAAGCCAAACCUCAGCAGAAGAGAAGCUGCUAAGCAACUCAGUGAGACCCUGUCUCUA
RNAcentral lists this small RNA (126 nucleotides) under Marmota monax (woodchuck). Lineage: Eukaryota; Metazoa; Chordata; Mammalia; Rodentia; Sciuridae. The record is from RNAcentral.